UACGUAGGAUGCGAGCGUUGUCCGGAAUUACUGGGCGUAAAGAGCUCGUAGGUGGUUUGUCGCGUUGUCCGUGAAAACUCACAACUCAAUUGUGGGCGUGCGGGCGAUACGGGCAGACUGGAGUACUGCAGGGGAGACUGGAAUUCCUGGUGUAGCGGUGGAAUGCGCAGAUAUCAGGAGGAACACCGGUGGCGAAGGCGGGUCUCUGGGCAGUAACUGACGCUGAGGAGCGAAAGCGUGGGGAGCGAACAGG
This 253-nucleotide ribosomal RNA is filed under the name uncultured bacterium. RNAcentral's name for it is "partial 16S ribosomal RNA". It matches the Rfam family "Bacterial small subunit ribosomal RNA", at positions 524 to 776 of the family's 1533-position model. The record is from RNAcentral.